Molecule: ribosomal RNA, 439 nt
Filed under: uncultured bacterium
Lineage: Bacteria
Description: partial 16S ribosomal RNA
Rfam family: Bacterial small subunit ribosomal RNA
Source: RNAcentral
CUACGGGGGGCUGCAGUGGGGAAUAUUGCACAAUGGAGGAAGCUCUGAUGCAGCAACGCCGCGUGGAGGAUGACACUUUUCGGAGCGUAAACUCCUUUUAUAUAGGAAGAAGAUGACGGUACUAUAUGAAUAAGCGCCGGCUAACUCCGUGCCAGCAGCCGCGGUAAUACGGAGGGCGCAAGCGUUACUCGGAAUCACUGGGCGUAAAGAGCGUGUAGGCGGAUUAAAAAGUCAGAAGUGAAAUCCUAUAGCUUAACUAUAGAAUUGCUUCUGAAACUCUUAAUCUAGAAUAUGGGAGAGGUAGAUGGAAUUUCUGGUGUAGGGGUAAAAUCCGUAGAGAUCAGAAGGAAUACCGAUUGCGAAGGCGAUCUACUAGAACAUUAUUGACGCUGAGACGCGAAAGCGUGGGGAGCAAACAGGAUUAGAUACCCGGGUAGUC